CAGGAUUAGAUACCCUGGUAGUCCACGCCGUAAACGAUGUCGACCAGCCGUUGGGUGCCUAGCGCACUUUGUGGCGAAGUUAACGCGAUAAGUCGACCGCCUGGGGAGUACGGCCGCAGGGUUAAAACUCAAAUGAAUUGACGGGGGCCCGCACAAGCGGUGGAGCAUGUGGUUUAAUUCGAUGCAACGCGAAGAACCUUACCUACCCUUGACAUCCUGCGAACCCGGAAGAGAUUCCGGGGUGCCUUCGGGAACGCAGAGACAGGUGCUGCAUGGCUGUCGUCAGCUCGUGUUGUGAAAUGUUGGGUUAAGUCCCGUAACGAGCGCAACCCUUGUCCUUAUUUGCCAGCGAGUAAUGUCGGGAACUCUAAGGAGACUGCCGGUGACAAACCGGAGGAAGGUGGGGACGACGUCAAGUCAUCAUGGCCCUUACGGGUAGGGCUACACACGUGCUACAAUGGCCGGUACAAAGGGCUGCGAGCUCGCGAGAGUCAGCGAAUCCCUUAAAGCCGGUCUCAGUCCGGAUCGGAGUCUGCAACUCGACUCCGUGAAGUCGGAAUCGCUAGUAAUCGUGAAUCAGAAUGUCACGGUGAAUACGUUCCCGGGCCUUGUACACACCGCCCGUCACACCAUGGGAGUGGACUGCACCAGAAGUGGUUAGCCUAACGCAAGAGGGCGAUCACCACGGUGUGGUUCAUGACUGGGGUGAAGUCGUAACAAGGUAGCCGUAGGGGAACCUGCGGCUGGAUCACCUCCUU
RNAcentral lists this ribosomal RNA (758 nucleotides) under uncultured Halomonas sp. RNAcentral describes it as "bacterial SSU rRNA". It matches the Rfam family "Bacterial small subunit ribosomal RNA", at positions 773 to 1532 of the family's 1533-position model. Lineage: Bacteria; Pseudomonadati; Pseudomonadota; Gammaproteobacteria; Oceanospirillales; Halomonadaceae. The record is from RNAcentral.